Molecule: long non-coding RNA, 246 nt
Filed under: Haliotis rubra (blacklip abalone)
Lineage: Eukaryota; Metazoa; Mollusca; Gastropoda; Lepetellida; Haliotidae
Description: uncharacterized LOC124285176, transcript variant X2
Source: RNAcentral
GGUCCAUCUUACAAGGCAGGGAAUGUUGAGGUCCAUCUUACAAGGCAGGGAAUGUUGAGGUCCAUCUUACAAGGCAGGGAAUGUUGAGGUCCAUCUUACAAGGCAGGGAAUGUUGAGGUCCAUCUUACCAAGGCAGGGAAUGUUGAGGUCUAUCUUACCAUGGCAGGGAAUGUUGAGGUCCAUCUUACAAGGCAGGGAAUGUUGAGGUCUAUCUUACAAGGCAGGUAAUGUUGAGGUCCAUCUUAC